CCCUUAGAUGUCCUGGGCCGCACGCGCGUUACACUGAUGCAUUCAACGAGCUUAUAACCUUGGCCGAGAGGCCUGGGCAAUCUUGUUAACGUGCAUCGUGAUAGGGAUAGAUUAUUGAAAUUAUUAAUCUUGAACGAGGAAUGCCUAGUAGGCGCAAGUCAUCAGCUUGCGUCGAUUACGUCCCUGCCCUUUGUACACACCGCCCGUCGCUCCUACCGAUUGGGUGUGCUGGUGAAAUGUUCGGAUCGGCCGUUUGUCGCGGUUUCCGCGGCUCGUGGCUGAGAAGUUCAUUAAACCCUCCCACCUAGAGGAAGGAGAAGUCGUAACA
RNAcentral lists this ribosomal RNA (328 nucleotides) under uncultured eukaryote. RNAcentral describes it as "partial 18S ribosomal RNA". It matches the Rfam family "Eukaryotic small subunit ribosomal RNA", at positions 1470 to 1796 of the family's 1831-position model. The record is from RNAcentral.